GAUGAAGAACGCAGCGAAAUGCGAUACUUGGUGUGAAUUGCAGAAUCCCGUGAACCAUCGAGUCUUUGAACGCAAGUUGCGCCUCAAGCCAUUAGGUUGAGGGCACGUCUGCCUGGGCGUCACAUAUCGUUGCCUGAUGCCAGUUUCCUCGUGAUGGGUGACUGUGCAGGGCGAAUGAUGGCUUCCCGUGAGCAUUGUUGCCUCAUGGUUGGUUGAAAAUUGAGUCCUUGGUAGGGAGCGCCGUGAUAGAUGGUGGUUGAGUGACGAACGAGACCCAAUCAUGUGAGACCCCUACCGAAUUUGGCCUUCAUGACCCACAUGCGUCUUUGGAACGCUCAUGACGAGACCUCAGGUCAGGCGGGGCUAACCGCUGAGUUUAAGCAUAUCAAUAAGCGGAGGA
RNAcentral lists this unclassified non-coding RNA (400 nucleotides) under soil metagenome. Its description in RNAcentral is "partial contains 5.8S ribosomal RNA, internal transcribed spacer 2, and large subunit ribosomal RNA". The stretch from base 1 to 122 matches the Rfam family "5.8S ribosomal RNA", at positions 35 to 154 of the family's 154-position model. The record is from RNAcentral.